GCGACCUUCCUGCCACUACGCUGCAACCAGGCGGCCCACGGUGCGGCCACUUUGGGUUGCUAAAUAUCUAGAUACUUCCGGCCCGCAUUGCCAGGUCCACUAGGCGUCGCCACCGUCCGGUAAUUACCGUCGCGCUGCCUGGCGGCCGGGUCUUCUGCGUGUGGCCCCCCUCACCUCCCGGCCCCGCUGUGGGAUCCGUCAAGCUAGUACUUUCCACGAGCCAAGCCCUUGGGACGGCGCCUGCCACCGGAUGAACACUCGAACUAUUUACAAGAGGUGGACAUCAGCAAUACAGAGAUCAAAUGAGAGAGGCCUCAUCAGAGGAGAGUCGAUGGAGAAAACGGGCAGUCCUACACGUUUGCGGAGAGGAAGUGGUAACAACCGUUACCGGUGACAACGCAGACGGUGCACGCGACGACGACAAACGAGGAUGGGGGAGAGGAGUUAUGUG
Long non-coding RNA from Herpailurus yagouaroundi (jaguarundi), 451 nucleotides. RefSeq lists it as uncharacterized. Lineage: Eukaryota; Metazoa; Chordata; Mammalia; Carnivora; Felidae. The record is from RefSeq and is a predicted model, not a curated record. The transcript is spliced from 3 exons.